UAGACACAAAAGAGCAUCGACUUUUCGAACGCACAUUGCGGUAUCGGGCCUGCUCGAUACCACGCCUAUCUGAGGGUCGAAU
Molecule: ribosomal RNA, 82 nt
Filed under: Longidorus macrosoma
Lineage: Eukaryota; Metazoa; Nematoda; Enoplea; Dorylaimida; Longidoridae
Description: partial 5.8S ribosomal RNA
Rfam family: 5.8S ribosomal RNA
About the family: 5.8S ribosomal RNA (5.8S rRNA) is a component of the large subunit of the eukaryotic ribosome. It is transcribed by RNA polymerase I as part of the 45S precursor that also contains 18S and 28S rRNA. Functionally, it is thought that 5.8S rRNA may be involved in ribosome translocation.
Source: RNAcentral